UACGAAGGGGGCUAGCGUUGCUCGGAUUGACUGGGCGUAAAGGGCGCGUAGGCGGUUUGUACAGUCAGACGUGAAAUUCCUGGGCUCAACCUGGGGGCUGCGUUUGAUACGUGCAGACUUGAGUUCGGAAGAGGUUCGUGGAAUUCCCAGUGUAGAGGUGAAAUUCGUAGAUAUUGGGAAGAACACCGGUGGCGAAGGCGGCGACCUGGUCCGAUACUGACGCUGAGGCGCGAAAGCGUGGGGAGCAAACAGG
RNAcentral lists this ribosomal RNA (253 nucleotides) under uncultured bacterium. RNAcentral describes it as "partial 16S ribosomal RNA". It matches the Rfam family "Bacterial small subunit ribosomal RNA", at positions 524 to 776 of the family's 1533-position model. The record is from RNAcentral.